GUUCGUAUAGCUCAGACGGAUAGAGCGAGCGCCUCCUAAGCGCUAGGCCACAGGUUCGACUCCUGUUACGAACGCCA
RNAcentral lists this transfer RNA (77 nucleotides) under Clostridiales bacterium. RNAcentral describes it as "tRNA-Arg". It matches the Rfam family "tRNA". From Rfam's summary of the family: Transfer RNA (tRNA) molecules are approximately 80 nucleotides in length. Their secondary structure includes four short double-helical elements and three loops (D, anti-codon, and T loops). The record is from RNAcentral. Lineage: Bacteria; Bacillati; Bacillota; Clostridia; Eubacteriales.